RNAcentral lists this non-coding RNA (21 nucleotides) under Rattus norvegicus (Norway rat). The record is from RNAcentral. Lineage: Eukaryota; Metazoa; Chordata; Mammalia; Rodentia; Muridae.
UGUUUGUGGUAGUGUGUGUGU